Molecule: ribosomal RNA, 277 nt
Filed under: uncultured prokaryote
Description: partial 16S ribosomal RNA
Rfam family: Bacterial small subunit ribosomal RNA
Source: RNAcentral
UACGUAGGGGGCUAGCGUUAUCCGGAAUUACUGGGCGUAAAGGGUGCGUAGGCGGUCUUUCAAGCCAGAAGUGAAAGGCUACGGCUCAACCGUAGUAAGCUUUUGGAACUGUAAGACUUGAGUGCCGGAGGGGCAAGCGGAAUUCCUGGUGUAGCGGUGAAAUGCGUAGAUAUCAGGAGGAACACCUGCGGCGAAGGCGGCUUGCUGGACGGCAACUGACGUUGAGGCUCGAAAGCGUGGGGAGCAAACAGGAUUAGAUACCCCUGUAGUCCCUGAG